UAAAAAUGAAAGAAUGAACUGCCAGACUG
This 29-nucleotide non-coding RNA is filed under the name Mus musculus (house mouse). Lineage: Eukaryota; Metazoa; Chordata; Mammalia; Rodentia; Muridae. The record is from RNAcentral.